RNAcentral lists this long non-coding RNA (524 nucleotides) under Homo sapiens (human). RNAcentral's name for it is "HSALNT0227268". Lineage: Eukaryota; Metazoa; Chordata; Mammalia; Primates; Hominidae. The record is from RNAcentral.
UCAUUUGCAAUAGAGAUUUCAAUAUUAUCUUAAUUCUCAGGCAUUUAUCAGGGACUCCUGGAGACAAAGGCACAUAUUUCUCUUUAUCUAGCUCUGACCUAGUUCUGACCAUCGUCCCCAUCCAAACAGCAAGAGAAAUCUAAAGUUGUAAUACAUUAUUUAACAGGAUGAACCAGUAAUUCAGACUACAGGAAAAAAGCAGUAAGACAGUUCAGAAAAGCUUAAAAAUCUUGAAGUCUGUUCCAUGAAGGAAAGGGUCACAACGAAUGUCGGCACAAAACCUUGUCUCACUUUCUCGGUUUCAUGCACCUGGAUUCUGUUGUUUAUUUUACCCAAGUACUUCACAAACCUGAUGCCAACAGCAACUGUGAAAUGGAAGCAACUCUACAAAUUAUUGCCAUCAUGAGACUAUCAUUAGGUCUACAUAGCUCAAGCUUCACUUGGAGUUCAAUUGUGUGAUUCAGAAGCACAGCUAGGAUAAGUCAGAGACUGGAAAGGGGAAGAGGAGAGACGUGCAGGAGUAU